UUCGGGUUCGUUAGCAUUUUCGAGACUUCCGGUUCAAAAAAAAUAGACGCCCUAUGGGACAAAUGAAUGGAACGAAUUCCUUUAAAAUAACAGUUGUAUAUAUCGUAAACAUCUUAAUAUAACUAGGCUACUUUCACUUCACAAGCAUUGCCAGGGAACCGCAAGAGCUGUGACGUAAGUAACAUGCGCAGCAGUGCUUAAAGGCUUUUUGUUAGCAAAAUAAUUGUUUUGGUUGAGAAACGACAUCGGAAUUCAUCGGAUCCAGUGCCAUUUAAGACAGAAAUGUGUCCGGAUAAAAAUGUCCAAGUUUUAAAUGCCAGCUUAAAUCACAGACUGUGAUAGGGACGGUUAUGAAAAAAUCCAUUCAUUUUUUCCAUAGAGAAAUUUCCCUUUGAACCGGAAUUCCAUAUGUGGGCAAGCUGUGCAAGGACUACAAGAAUGCUGAUAUAUCAAAGACAAAGACUCAAAAGUGGAAGACAGAAAAUGAACAAGAAGGAAGCCCGUUCUUUGUCAUGGAGGAGACCUGUUUCCAUUGAGAGAGAAACGGGGGCUUUGUCCUGCUCCGUGCACAAUGUUCCAGAGAAGGGAGUACUCUUGUGUGUGGUCUUAUGUGCACACUUCAUUAUCUCAGCUGGAUCAAUCCGGCAUCAAAUGACCUGAUGGAGAAGGUAUGUGUGUGUGGCAGUUUGACUCUUCUUCAGAUAAUGUGUACAGAUGUGGGGCAUCGGUUUCUUCUUGGCCCAUAACCAUCAGACAAAUGGUUGUUUGAGAUUUUCAGGGGGUGAUAGAGUGAGCGAAUGAAGGAGUGAAUUAUUCAGUAAGUGAAUACCCCUUAUCCACAUCCAUCAGUGUUUGUGUCCCACCUGCCCUCCCCACAUAGAUUGGGCAUGGCAAAAGACACCCAAGCACACCCCUUCCUUGAUGACUGGUCAGUUCUUGAAGGGAGGGUGGUGAAACCCAGUCUGAACAAUCCAUCCAUCCAUUAUCUAUACCCGAUUAUCCUGAGCAGGGUCACGGGGGAGUGCUGGAGCAUAUCCCAGCGUGCAUUGGGUGAGAGGCAGGAAUACACCCUGGACAGGCCGCCAAUCUAUUGCGGGGCGCACACACACGAAGCAUUCACUCACACACUCAUACAUUUGGGAAAUUUGGAGUCUCCAAUCGGCCUACCUACAUGCCUUUGGACUGAGGGAGGAGUACCUGGAGGAAACCCACGCGGACACGGGGAGAACAUGCAAACUCCACACAGAAAGGCCCCAAGCCGAGAUUCGAACCCACAGGCUUCUUGCUAUGCGCCGACAGCACUACCUACUGCACCGCCAUGCUGCCCCUGCAACAAUCCACUGUGUAUUAUUAUUUAUUUAUUUAUUAAUUCUGUAUAUGGCAUCCAGGGUAGCAGAACUUUGGCAGAGACUACCGUAAACACUGCCAUGAAAAACAUUUGUCCCUGUGACCUUCCUGAUUUACUCUAUUAUUGCAUGUUCGUCACACUGAAUGGUUCCAGAUCUUCAGACAAAAUGAGUAAACACAGAAUAUUUUUAGAUAAUUAUUUAAUUUAUUUAAUGAAGAAAGUUAUCAAAUGCUGAUAUCACCCAUGUGAUACCAGGUUUGAUUGUUGAACCUAAACCUCACUCAUAUUGAUCAUUACUGUCAAGAGUGAAGUAGUCACCACAAACUCCACUGAACCGCAGUGAGAGCUAUUAUCUCCAAAUGGAGAACGCGUGGACCAGUGGUGAAUCUUCCCAGCUGGCCUGCCAAAAUUUCAAAAAUUGGAUUUAUGAAAGAGUAGCAAGGCGGAAACCACAGCUAACCAGGAGAAACAUAAAUGAUCGUCUCAUGUUUGCAAAAAUGCACCUGGAUGAUCCCCAACCCUUUUGGGAUGAUGUUCUAUGGACAGAUGAGUCAAAAGUGGAACUAUUUGGAUGACACGGGUCCCAUUAUUUCUGGCAUAAAGCAAAUUCAGCUUUUCACAGUAAGAACAUCAUACCAACAGUCAAUUAUAGAGAUGCUAGUGUGCAAUAGACAUGCUGUGGCAGGACGUGAAACAAGCAGUUCAUGCUCAAAAACCUAUCAAUUUGUCUGAAUUAAAGCAGUUCUGCAAAGAAGAGUGGGCUGAAAUUCCUUCACAGCAAUGUGGAAGACUAAUAUCAAAUUAUAGGAAACGUUUGGUUGCAGCUAUUGCUGCUUGUAGUAUUCGGUCCAGCAGAGGACCGGAUUCAUCUUGGUCGUGCACACCGGUGGAGAGAGCAAACGCACUUGGGUUGCAUUUGCUAAUCAGCCCAUUGAAGGUGUGUUCUUCUCCACAGUACAGGGCUGAGGCUGGGAGUACACACUGAGAGCGAGUUUCGUCAGCCCUAAAAGACAAAGAAAGAAACUGGAAACUGAAAACCAGUGAGAGGGAAGAGUGAAGGUGUUUGUUUGUUGAUUUUGUGUUUGUGUGCGUGCGCUCUCUCUCUCCAUGCGUAAAGCAACAGUGGACACCCGGAAUUGCCCCAUCUCCCUCCCAGGGGUGUCACAACAGUGUGGUGUGCAACCAGUUAUUAAGUUUAAGGGGGCAAUUACUUUUUCAUAUGGUGUUAUGGAUGCUUGAUAAUGUUUUAAUUUAAAUAAAUUAAAUAAUAAUUUUAGAAAUGUGUUGUGUGUUUACUCGGGUUCCCUUUGUCUAGUAUUACAUUUCGUAUAAAGAUCUGAAACCAUUCAGUGUGAUAAAUAUGCAAUAACAGGAAAUCAGGAUGGGGCAAAUACUUUUUCACAGUACUGUACUGUACAUAAAUGCUGCUGUUGUCUAUCCCAACAGAGUGACUCCUGAUCUAGCCUUUACUAGAGAGGCUAUCUUUUAGUUUUUGUUUUUUAUUUGUGACUUAAAGUUGAAAGCCCUGUAUAUUUUUUACAGGCGAGCCUUAAAAUGUUUGUGAUAAUUUAUUGAUGGCAUAGACAGUGAAAGAGAUGCCCCACGUGUCCAAGAGCAAGAGAGGCUCCAUUGAUUCUAGAGACCAGCAGGUAUUUUCAAACUUUUUUUUUAACACAAAGCAAAUCUGAGUUAAUGGAAUAUUUUCUGAACACUCUCUAAUAUCUAUUUUGUUCCAAGAUUAAUGAACAUUGCUUGAAGAACUGCAUUACUGAUGUAAAACAGAAAUAUACCACUGUUUUAAUGGUAUCAUCCUACACAAUCUAGUACAUGGGCAUACAUAAGUAAAAUAUAUUUUGUGUGUAAAAUGUUAAAUUGAUUGCCUGAAAUAAGUACUAAUAUGGGCUGUUAACUUUGUUACUAGAAUUUCUGGUUCCAUGGAAUCAAAAUUUUGGUUAUACCAGCUGAUCUUUUAUCUAAAUUAAUGUAAUAGCCAAUGUUUUGCCCUUUAUGUCAAAGUGUGUCUUUGAACUCAAAUGUGUACAAUAAUCAUGUACAGUAAAUAAAUUUAUUUUUGAAA
Molecule: long non-coding RNA, 3425 nt
Organism: Anguilla rostrata (American eel)
Lineage: Eukaryota; Metazoa; Chordata; Actinopteri; Anguilliformes; Anguillidae
Exons: 4
Source: RefSeq, a predicted model, not a curated record